Hipposideros armiger (great roundleaf bat) is the source of this 216-nucleotide long non-coding RNA. RefSeq lists it as uncharacterized. NCBI's taxonomy places the organism in Eukaryota, Metazoa, Chordata, Mammalia, Chiroptera, Hipposideridae. The record is from RefSeq and is a predicted model, not a curated record. The transcript is spliced from 5 exons.
CAGGAAUUGGAGGGGGUGUGAAACCUCAAAAGCCAGGAUUUGGCAAUGGGAAUGGGAUUGGAGGCAAGGCCUUCCCGAGAGUUGGAGCCCAACCAGGCUAUGGAGGGGGUGGAAAACCCCAGAAGCCAGGAUUCGGGAUCAGGAACGGGCCAGGAGCUGGGGCCUUCCCAGGAGCAGGAGCCCAGCCAGGCCUUGGAGCACUAAAACCCCAGAAGG